CGUAGGGUGCGAGCGUUAAUCGGAAUUACUGGGCGUAAAGUGUGCGCAGGUGGCUGAGCAAGUCGAGUGUGAAAUCCCCGGGCUUAACUUGGGAAUUGCGCUCGAAACUACUCGGCUCGAGUGUGGCAGAGGAAGGUGGAAUUCCAGGUGUAGCGGUGAAAUGCGUAGAGAUCUGGAGGAACACCGAUGGCGAAGGCAGCCUUCUGGGCCAACACUGACGCUCAUGCACGAAAGCGUGGGGAGCAAACAGGAUUAGAUACCCUGGUAGUCCACGCCCUAAACGAUGAUGACUAGUUGUUGGGGGAGUUAAAUCCCUUAGUAACGCAGCUAACGCGUGAAGUCAUCCGCCUGGGGAGUACGGUCGCAAGAUUA
RNAcentral lists this ribosomal RNA (372 nucleotides) under uncultured organism. RNAcentral's name for it is "bacterial SSU rRNA". It matches the Rfam family "Bacterial small subunit ribosomal RNA", at positions 526 to 896 of the family's 1533-position model. The record is from RNAcentral.